This 305-nucleotide ribosomal RNA is filed under the name uncultured bacterium. RNAcentral describes it as "bacterial SSU rRNA". It matches the Rfam family "Bacterial small subunit ribosomal RNA", at positions 335 to 639 of the family's 1533-position model. The record is from RNAcentral.
GUCCUACGGGGGGCAGCAGUGAGGAAUAUUGGUCAAUGGUCGGGAGACUGAACCAGCCAAGCCGCGUGAGGGAUGAAGGUACAGAGUAUCGUAAACCUCUUUUGUCAGGGAACAAAGGCGGGGACGUGUCCCCGGAUGAGUGUACCUGAAGAAAAAGCAUCGGCUAACUCCGUGCCAGCAGCCGCGGUAAUACGGAGGAUGCGAGCGUUAUCCGGAUUUAUUGGGUUUAAAGGGUGCGUAGGCGGUCCGGAAAGUCAGCGGUAAAAGCCCGGGGCUCAACCCCGGCGAGCCGUUGAAACUGUCGG